Lolium perenne is the source of this 1189-nucleotide long non-coding RNA. RefSeq lists it as uncharacterized. The record is from RefSeq and is a predicted model, not a curated record. NCBI's taxonomy places the organism in Eukaryota, Viridiplantae, Streptophyta, Magnoliopsida, Poales, Poaceae.
UGGUUGUCCGUCCUACCUCUCCGGUGGCCCGUUUCGAUUUCAUGUAGGGUGAUGCCGCAUACCUUCAGCUGCUCGCAAGUUCUCAAAUGUAAGUUCUCCUGUGAGGUAAACUUGAGGGCUGGAAUGGGGAGAAGCGGGAGGAGGUCUGGCAUGACAGCAUGUAGAUGGGUGACACAUUUUGGUGCAAAUCGGACUUAUGGACAAAUUUAACUACAGCAACCGGCAAAUGAUGCAGCAUGAGGGUGAUUGUCUUCUUAGCGUAAGUAUUUUAUCAUAUCUCUAUCAAUGAUCUCCUCACAUACAAAUCAUACAGUAUACUGUUCUAUACUUUUUCCUACAGAAGUCAGACUAUUUGUUCUUCUUGGCAUAUACAUUUUGACUACAUGAACUGAGUUUCUGAUACAGUUGCCAUUUAGGUUGAACAAUUCAUACUUUGUUGCUCAAUUUGGGCUUGAUAUUAUGUAGGUCUUAAAUUAUUUCUUAGUAUGUAUGUUUUUGCUUGAAUAUUUAUCUGCGUUGUACAUUGCUUUUGAAGGCAAACUGAUGAUAUGUUGUUAAUUAUUAAAGCACCCAAAGUUCUAAUGUACCACGAGAUUUUGCAAGUUAGUAAUAUUGCAUUUCUAUGACAUUUUAACAAACAAAUUUUCAUCUGUAUAUUGGAUCUAUCUUGCUAUAAAUUGUUGUUAUUUCUUAACACAAUCUGUUCAGAUCUGAGGAAGAGAAGGAAGGCCCCAAGGUGAGUGAUUUUUCAUCUCUUACUGCUCUAUUAAUAAGAGACUUGCACGUCACGAAAAGAACAAGAAAAUAUGGGUUUUAUGAUGCAUGGUUAGGAAUAUUUUGAGUUAGUUUAUGUUCACGAAAAGAACACUAAAAGAGACGAACUAAUUUGAGUUAGUUUAUGUACAUUUUGCAGGCUGAUAUUUUUUGUCAGUAUGUAACUCCUGAAAUUGAUUUGGGAUGUGUUUGGUUUUAGUUAAUUUAUAGAGAAUCAAAAAGGAAGAAGGCACAGGAAUAAGAGAACAAGGCGACUCUGGGUCGGCUCUCGUGGUGGCGCUGGGUGAAGGAGAUAAUGGGGCUGUUGUUGGGUGGAGGAGGGGGCUUGGGGUGUUGCCUAGAGCGCAGAUGAUGGGUUGCAGUAGUGCAAGCCAUGCCUUGUAAUAAUGAGCAAUCACCGUGUAGUCAAUUUUAC